UGGGGAAUUUUGGACAAUGGGGGAAACCCUGAUCCAGCCAUCCCGCGUGUGCGAUGAAGGCCUUCGGGUUGUAAAGCACUUUUGGCAGGAAAGAAACGUCAUGGGUUAAUACCCCGUGAAACUGACGGUACCUGCAGAAUAAGCACCGGCUAACUACGUGUCAGCAGCCGCGGUAAUACGUAGGGUGCAAGCGUUAAUCGGAAUUACUGGGCGUAAAGCGUGCGCAGGCGGUUCGGAAAGAAAGAUGUGAAAUCCCAGAGCUCAACUUUGGAACUGCAUUUUUAACUACCGGGCUAGAGUGUGUCAGAGGGAGGUGGAAUGCCGCGUGUAGCAGUGAAAUGCGUAGAUAUGCGGAGGAACACCGAUGGCGAAGGCAGCCUCCUGGGAUAACACUGACGCUCAUGCACGAAAGCGUGGGGAGCAAACAGG
RNAcentral lists this ribosomal RNA (429 nucleotides) under Acidobacteriota bacterium. Its description in RNAcentral is "Acidobacteria bacterium partial 16S ribosomal RNA". It matches the Rfam family "Bacterial small subunit ribosomal RNA", at positions 355 to 776 of the family's 1533-position model. Lineage: Bacteria; Pseudomonadati; Acidobacteriota. The record is from RNAcentral.